UGCUACGAGUGAAUGGAUUGGCCUAAUAUAGGAUAAAAGGCGCUAGACUGCGAAAAAAACCAACGGCAUCCGCGACAUAUUGGUUUGUACCUUUAAGGCUGAAAAGCCGAUACUUAUAUGACCUUAUAGCUAAAAGAUAAAGUUUCUUUAGACUUUUAGUAUAAUUUUUUUAAAAUAUAAGUUUUAUACUCAAGCAACUGAAACAUCUUAUUACUUGAAGGAAAAGAAAUCAAUCGAGAUUGCGUGUGUAGCAGCGAGUGAAAGCGCAAAAGCCUAUACAAACAAACAGAAAGCUAAAACGUAUGGAAAGGCGUACUAAAAAAGGUGACAGUCCUGUAGGCUAAAAAUGUAAUGUUGGUUGAGUUCGACGUAUAUUGUCGAAUAAAAGGGAAACCUCUCUCAAGGCUAAAUAUAAUAUUAGGACCGAUAGUGAACAAGUACCGUGAGGGAAAUCUGAAAAGUCGUAGUGACUUAACUAUGUUGAAACAGAGCCUGAAACUCGUAGCGAAUAAAGACACUUCGUUAAGCAAAGUUUAAUACAGUGGUGCCUUUUGAAUCAUGCGCUGAUGACUUUGUGUUUGAUUGUGGUUUAACUUGCUAAAGGUAAGCCUCCUAAUAGAAAAAAAACAACUAACGCAAGACGCGAAGCAAAGAGAGCUUUUUUAAGCCAAGAUGAAGAGCCGCGAAAGGGGUUUGGAGGUCUAAAGCAGUUCACGUUGCAACGUGUUUGUAUGAGCUUAGAAAAGAAGCGAAAUACUAAACGCUCUUUGCAAUAUCUCGUUUCUCACGAAACCUGUUUAGGCAGGGCGCUAAAAUAAAAAGUUAGCUAGAGAUGUAAAGCACUGUAAUAUUGAUGGGAAAGAAAUUUUUACUGAAGUUUUGCAAACUCUGAAUUCUCGGCUAAUAUAAAUAGCAGUCAGUCGGUACGGGACAAGCUGUAUUCGACAAGAGGGAAACAGCCCAGACUAUAGAAUAAGGCCUGCAAGCGUAAACUAAGUGAAAAAGGAAGUUGUUGUGCAAUAAAGCGUAGGACGUUUGAUUAGCAGCAUCGAUCGUUUAAAGAAAGCGUAAUAGCUCACUACGUUAGUACAGUAGCGCCGACAAUUUAACCAGACUAAGUUUAUCGCCCAUUUCAUAGCUAGCAUGUAAAGUGUUGGGGUAGUGAGACGAACCAUAUAUAAAAAAAGCUCUGUCGGUAAGAUUUUGUGAUAUAUUGGUUGUGAUUAUAUCAGCUAUAGUAACUAAAAAUUGAGUUUGCUUUGUAUUGGUUGUGAUUAUUCCAGCUAUAGUAACCUAAUAUUCAGUAAAGAAAAUCUCAAAGAUCGAAAGUCCAAGGUUUCUUAGACAACUCUAGAAGAUCUAAAACGACAACGUAUCCUAAGCUGUAUAAAGACGGCGAUGGGUGGCAACUAAAAAGUCUAAACGUCUGUGUUUACGCAAAAGUCUGGGUGAAAAUCAAGCUGGUAAACCGAAGAAAUGACGUUUAUUGAUCUAGCCUCGUAGGUGAAUAACUUCGUGAGUAAAUACAGCUGGAAAACAAAAAUUUCAAGGCUAUUGAUUUAGUUGCCCUUAACGUACUUAAACUGACACAGGUGGACAAGUAAAUUUUACUAAGAUUAAGUCAUAAAAACCCGUAAGGAACUCGGCAAAUUACACUCGUACUUUAGAAACAAGAGUGGCAACUAUUGAAAAAUAGUAGUCUCAGAAAAUCGAGGAGGGCGACUGUUUACUCAAAACACAGGGUUCUGCAAACUUGUAAUAGGACGUAUAGAAUCUGACGUUUGUCAAGAGCCGCCAACUUAAAAAAAAUGAUGCAAAGUUCAUUUUUUCAAGGCGUGGUUAUCGACCGCCGUAACUAUAACGGUGUUAACAGUAGCGAAAUUCCUAGGCAUUUAAUUGGUGUCCUGCACGAAUAACGUAACGAUCUUCCUACUGUCUCGCGGGUUUAGGCUGUGAAAUAAGAAUGCCGGUCCAAAUACCGGCUAAAAUCUCCAAGACGAUAAGACCCUAUGAAGCUUUACUGUAACUUAACAUUGCUGUAGACUAUUCGCUUUAUAGUAAUAGGCGGGAGUUUGUUGUAUAACUUUAAGUUAUACAAUAACGUUCCUGGAAAACCGCUAGGCUAAUAAUCGGCAGCUCAUCUGUGAGAAAGUGUUUGGUGGGCAGUUUAUCUGGGGCGGAUACUGGCUAAAAGGUAACGCCAGUGUGCAAAGGUUAGUUCAACAAAGUCGGAAACUUUGUGUAGAGCGCAAUAGUAUUAAGCUAGCCUGACUACAAGACCUACAAGUCGAGUAUGGGACGCAAGUCUGUUAUAGUGACCCCUUGAGUGGAAAAGCGCGGGAUCAACGGAUCAAAGUUACUCUAGGGAUAACAGCGUUAUCUUGGCCUAUAGUCCAUAUAGAAGCCAAUGUUUGCGACCUCGAUGUCGACUUUGGACUUCCUCGAGCUGUAGACGGUUCGAAGGGUGUGACUGUUCUUCACAUAAAGUCCUACGUGAGUUGGGUUUAAUCCGUAGAAAUACAGGAUUGAUUCUAUCUGGAGAUUUCAAAUACAUAACAAAAUAACUGAGGGUUAGACUUCAUUAGUACGAAAGGAUCUUGUAAGUCCAAGCCGCUGGUUUAGCAGUUGUUUUAAUACAAGCAUUGCUGCGACGCUACGCUUGAAAAGCUAAUCGCUGAAACCAUAUAAAGCGAGAAGCUUUCCCGAGAAGUCAUUGUAAAUCGCAAUUAGUUAUUGCGUAAAUAGGUUAAGGGUGUAAUACUGGAGACAGUUUUAGCCACUUAAAACUAAAA
Molecule: ribosomal RNA, 2792 nt
Filed under: Monostroma nitidum
Lineage: Eukaryota; Viridiplantae; Chlorophyta; Ulvophyceae; Ulvales; Monostromataceae
Also listed under: 1 other name
Description: 23S large subunit ribosomal RNA
Rfam family: Bacterial large subunit ribosomal RNA
Source: RNAcentral